GACGAACGCUGGCGGCGUGCUUAACACAUGCAAGUCGAACGGAAAGGCCCUGCUUUUGUGGGGUUCUCGAUUGGCGAACGGGUGAGUAACACGUGAGUAACCUGCCCUUGACUUUGGGAUAACUUCAGGAAACUGGGGCUAAUACCGGAUAGGAUCUCCUGCUGCAUGGUGUGGGUUGGAAAGUUUCGGCUGUUGGGGAUGGACUCGCUGCUUAUGAGCUUGUUUGUGGGGUAGUCGCUUACCAAGGUUAUGACGGCUAGCCCGCCUGAGAGGGUGACCGGGCACCAUAGGACUGCGAUACGGACCAGAAUGCUACGGUAGGCAGCAGUGGAGAAUAUGGCGCAGUGGGGCGAAGCGUGAUACAGAGACGCCGGGAGCGGGAUGACGGCCUACGGGUGAUAAACCGCUGUGGCAUGUGACGAAGCGUGAGUGACGGUAAUGGGUCAAGAAGCAACGGCUAACUACGUG
This 468-nucleotide ribosomal RNA is filed under the name uncultured bacterium. RNAcentral's name for it is "partial 16S ribosomal RNA". It matches the Rfam family "Bacterial small subunit ribosomal RNA", at positions 28 to 507 of the family's 1533-position model. The record is from RNAcentral.